Molecule: ribosomal RNA, 468 nt
Filed under: uncultured bacterium
Lineage: Bacteria
Description: partial 16S ribosomal RNA
Rfam family: Bacterial small subunit ribosomal RNA
Source: RNAcentral
GACGAACGCUGGCGGCGUGCUUAACACAUGCAAGUCGAACGGAAAGGCCCUGCUUUUGUGGGAUGCUCGAGUGGCGAACGGGUGAGUAACACGUGAGUAACCUGCCCUUGACUUUGGGAUAACUUCAGGAAACUGGGGCUAAUACCGGAUAGGAGCUCCUGCUGCAUGGUGGGGGUUGGAAAGUUUCGGUGGUUGGGGAUGGACUCGCGGCUUAUCAGCUUGUUGGUGGGGUAGUGGCUUACCAAGGCUUUGACGGGUAGCCGGCCUGAGAGUGUGACCGGCCACAUUGUGACUGAGGUACGGCCCAGACUCCUACGGGAGGCAGCAGUGGGGAAUAUUGCACAAUGGGCGGAAGCCUGAUGCAGCAACGCCGCUUGCGGGAUGACGGCCUUCGGGUUGUAAACCGCUUUCGCCUGUGACGAAGCGUGAGGUAGGGUAAUGUGUAAAGAAGCACCGGCUAACUACGUG